This 270-nucleotide unclassified non-coding RNA is filed under the name Pestalotiopsis rhododendri. RNAcentral describes it as "partial internal transcribed spacer region". The stretch from base 1 to 46 matches the Rfam family "Eukaryotic small subunit ribosomal RNA", at positions 1786 to 1831 of the family's 1831-position model. RNAcentral also lists the same sequence under 1 other name. The record is from RNAcentral. Lineage: Eukaryota; Fungi; Ascomycota; Sordariomycetes; Amphisphaeriales; Sporocadaceae.
AAGUCGUAACAAGGUCUCCGUUGGUGAACCAGCGGAGGGAUCAUUAUAGAGUUUUCUAAACUCCCAACCCAUGUGAACUUACCAUUGUUGCCUCGGCAGAAGCUGCUCGGUGCACCUUACCCUGGAACGGCCUACCCUGUAGCGCCUUACCCUGGAACGGCCUACCCUGUAGCGGCUGCCGGUGGACUACCAAACUCUUGUUAUUUUAUUGUAAUCUGAGCGUCUUAUUUUAAUAAGUCAAAACUUUCAACAACGGAUCUCUUGGUUCUG